UACGGGGGGGGCAAGCGUUGUUCGGAAUUACUGGGCGUAAAGGGCUCGUAGGCGGUCAACUAAGUCCGACGUGAAAUCCCAAGGCUUAACCUUGGAACUGCGUCGGAUACUGGAUGGCUUGAAUUCGGGAGAGGGAUGCAGAAUUCCAGGUGUAGCGGUGAAAUGCGUAGAUAUCUGGAGGAAUACCGGUGGCGAAGGCGGCAUCCUGGACCGACAUUGACGCUGAUGAGCGAAAGCUAGGGGAGCAAACGGG
This 253-nucleotide ribosomal RNA is filed under the name uncultured bacterium. RNAcentral describes it as "partial 16S ribosomal RNA". It matches the Rfam family "Bacterial small subunit ribosomal RNA", at positions 524 to 776 of the family's 1533-position model. The record is from RNAcentral.